This 909-nucleotide ribosomal RNA is filed under the name uncultured Actinomyces sp. RNAcentral describes it as "bacterial SSU rRNA". It matches the Rfam family "Bacterial small subunit ribosomal RNA". Lineage: Bacteria; Bacillati; Actinomycetota; Actinomycetes; Actinomycetales; Actinomycetaceae. The record is from RNAcentral.
GAUGAACGCUAGCGAUAGGCUUAACACAUGCAAGUCGAGGGGCAGCAUGGUCUUAGCUUGCUAAGACUGAUGGCGACCGGCGCACGGGUGCGUAACGCGUAUGCAACUUGCCUCACAGAGGGGGAUAACCCGUCGAAAGACGGACUAAUACCGCGUACACUCUAAGUUGGGCAUCCAAUUUAGAGGAAAUGAAUUUCGCUGUGAGAUAGGCAUGCGUCCCAUUAGCUAGUUGGUGAGGUAACGGCUCACCAAGGCGACGAUGGGUAGGGGAACUGAGAGGUUGAACCCCCACACUGGUACUGAGACACGGACCAGACUCCUACGGGAGGCAGCAGUGAGGAAUAUUGGUCAAUGGGCGAGAGCCUGAACCAGCCAAGUCGCGUGAAGGAUGACUGUCUUAUGGAUUGUAAACUUCUUUUAUACGGGAAUAACAAGAGCCACGUGUGGCUCCCUGCAUGUACCGUAUGAAUAAGCAUCGGCUAACUCCGUGCCAGCAGCCGCGGUAAUACGGAGGAUGCGAGCGUUAUCCGGAUUUAUUGGGUUUAAAGGGUGCGUAGGCGGCCUGUUAAGUCAGCGGUGAAAUCUAGGAGCUUAACUCCUAAAUUGCCUUUGAUACUGGCGGUCUUGAGUGUAGAUGAGGUUGGCUGGAAUGCGUGGGUGUAGCGGUGGAAUGGCAUUGAUAUCACGCUGAAACUCCCUAUUGCGAAGGCAGCUUGACUGUGUGUUCAACUGACGCUGGAAGCACUAUAGCGUUGGGUAUCAAACAGUGAUUGGAUGCCCUAUUGUGUCCAAGGGGCAAAUUGAGUGUGUGAUUUGGGGGUUGCGGGACCGGCGCCCCUGAAAUGAAAACCAAAUGACUGCUUUUGUUCCUUUGGGAGGGGUAAAUUAGGGGUGUGUGUUUGUCUGUUU